GUAGCUGCAGUUAGCUUUCCUUCUGCGAGGUAUCAGCAUCGUCCUCCUUGGUGGGCUAUGAGAUGUUUAUCAGUGGUACCAGGAGGUGGGAAGCCAAUCUCUUCGUGACCACUGAGCUUCCCCACACAUGGACAAGCCUAGAGCUGAAUGGAGAGGACCCAAGACUGAAGGCAAUAGAAGCCCAAGUCCACCCAAUCCUACAGCUGUCACAAAAAGAAGCAAGCUGCAGAAUGAGGUAGCUAUGUCGCUUUCUCCAGUACAAUUCAGAAGACCAUGCAGCCUUCAGUUAUGUCCACACCUUAGGAUGCUGAAGAGGGAAGCAUCUGCUCUUUGCCUGCUCGCCCUCGUUUUCACUGGAAGUUCAUUCCCUCACUGGCAUUAGAGCCUACUUCUGGAUUCUGAAUAUACUGAAGAACAGCAGAGACAUCCAGCCUCCAGGACUGAAUAACUACUGGAUUCUUGGACUUUCUUUCCAUCAGGAGAUAGCCAUUGUUGAACUCGCCAGAUCACAGCCUGAAAGCCACUC
Long non-coding RNA from Mus musculus (house mouse), 526 nucleotides. RefSeq annotates it as predicted gene, 34113. The transcript is spliced from 3 exons. The record is from RefSeq and is a predicted model, not a curated record. Lineage: Eukaryota; Metazoa; Chordata; Mammalia; Rodentia; Muridae.